Molecule: ribosomal RNA, 658 nt
Filed under: uncultured bacterium
Lineage: Bacteria
Description: bacterial SSU rRNA
Rfam family: Bacterial small subunit ribosomal RNA
Source: RNAcentral
GCAUGUUCACAUGAUUAAAGGUAUUCCGGUAGACGAUGGGGAUGCGUUCCAUUAGAUAGUAGGCGGGGUAACGGCCCACCUAGUCUUCGAUGGAUAGGGGUUCUGAGAGGAAGGUCCCCCACAUUGGAACUGAGACACGGUCCAAACUCCUACGGGAGGCAGCAGUGAGGAAUAUUGGUCAAUGGGCGAGAGCCUGAACCAGCCAAGUAGCGUGAAGGAUGACUGCCCUAUGGGUUGUAAACUUCUUUUAUAAAGGAAUAAAGUCGGGUAUGCACACCCGUUUGCAUGUACUUUAUGAAUAAGGAUCGGCUAACUCCGUGCCAGCAGCCGCGGUAAUACGGAGGAUCCGAGCGUUAUCCGGAUUUAUUGGGUUUAAAGGGAGCGUAGAUGGAUGUUUAAGUCAGUUGUGAAAGUUUGCGGCUCAACCGUAAAAUUGCAGUUGAUACUGGAUAUCUUGAGUGCAGUUGAGGCAGGCGGAAUUCGUGGUGUAGCGGUGAAAUGCUUAGAUAUCACGAAGAACUCCGAUUGCGAAGGCAGCCUGCUAAGCUGCAACUGACAUUGAGGCUCGAAAGUGUGGGUAUCAAACAGGAUUAGAUACCCUGGUAGUCCACACGGUAAACGAUGAAUACUCGCUGUUUGCGAUAUACAGCAAGCGGCC